Molecule: microRNA precursor, 86 nt
Filed under: Chlorocebus sabaeus (green monkey)
Lineage: Eukaryota; Metazoa; Chordata; Mammalia; Primates; Cercopithecidae
Description: miRNA (ENSCSAG00000020677.1)
Source: RNAcentral
UUUGGGAGGCCAAGCUGGAGGAUCACUUGAGACCAGGAGUUUGAGACCAGGCUGGGCAACAAAGUGAGACCUCGUCUCUACAAAAA